RNAcentral lists this ribosomal RNA (431 nucleotides) under uncultured bacterium. RNAcentral describes it as "bacterial SSU rRNA". It matches the Rfam family "Bacterial small subunit ribosomal RNA", at positions 29 to 506 of the family's 1533-position model. The record is from RNAcentral.
ACGAACGCUGGCGGCAGGCUUAACACAUGCAAGUCGAACGAAGGCUUCGGCCUUAGUGGCGCACGGGUGAGUAACACGUGGGAAUAUACCUCUCAGUGGGGGAUAACGUCGGGAAACUGACGCUAAUACCGCAUACGCCCUUCGGGGGAAAGAUUUAUCGCUGAGAGAUUAGCCCGCGUCCGAUUAGCUAGUUGGUAAGGUAAUGGCUUACCAAGGCUACGAUCGGUAGCUGGUCUGAGAGGAUGAUCAGCCACACUGGGACUGAGACACGGCCCAGACUCCUACGGGAGGCAGCAGUGGGGAAUAUUGGACAAUGGGGGCAACCCUGAUCCAGCCAUGCCGCGUGAGUGAUGAAGGCCUUAGGGUUGUAAAGCUCUUUCGACGGGGACGAUGAUGACGGUACCCGUAGAAGAAGCCCCGGCUAACUUCGU